RNAcentral lists this transfer RNA (66 nucleotides) under Ruidocollaris sinensis. RNAcentral describes it as "tRNA-Met". Lineage: Eukaryota; Metazoa; Arthropoda; Insecta; Orthoptera; Tettigoniidae. The record is from RNAcentral.
AUAAAGGUAAGCUAAAAUAAGCUCAUGGGUUCAUACCCCAUUAAUAGGAUUAUCUCCUCCUUUUUA